Molecule: ribosomal RNA, 983 nt
Filed under: Streptomyces sp. LK1323.3
Lineage: Bacteria; Bacillati; Actinomycetota; Actinomycetes; Kitasatosporales; Streptomycetaceae
Description: partial 16S ribosomal RNA
Rfam family: Bacterial small subunit ribosomal RNA
Source: RNAcentral
GACGAACGCUGGCGGCGUGCUUAACACAUGCAAGUCGAACGAUGAAGCCCUUCGGGGUGGAUUAGUGGCGAACGGGUGAGUAACACGUGGGCAAUCUGCCCUUCACUCUGGGACAAGCCCUGGAAACGGGGUCUAAUACCGGAUAANACUCCUGCCUGCAUGGGCGGGGGUUGAAAGCUCCGGCGGUGAAGGAUGAGCCCGCGGCCUAUCAGCUUGUUGGUGGGGUAAUGGCCCACCAAGGCGACGACGGGUAGCCGGCCUGAGAGGGCGACCGGCCACACUGGGACUGAGACACGGCCCAGACUCCUACGGGAGGCAGCAGUGGGGAAUAUUGCACAAUGGGCGAAAGCCUGAUGCAGCGACGCCGCGUGAGGGAUGACGGCCUUCGGGUUGUAAACCUCUUUCAGCAGGGAAGAAGCGAAAGUGACGGUACCUGCAGAAGAAGCGCCGGCUAACUACGUGCCAGCAGCCGCGGUAAUACGUAGGGCGCAAGCGUUGUCCGGAAUUAUUGGGCGUAAAGAGCUCGUAGGCGGCUUGUCACGUCGGAUGUGAAAGCCCGAGGCUUAACCUCGGGUCUGCAUUCGAUACGGGCUAGCUAGAGUGUGGUAGGGGAGAUCGGAAUUCCUGGUGUAGCGGUGAAAUGCGCAGAUAUCAGGAGGAACACCGGUGGCGAAGGCGGAUCUCUGGGCCAUUACUGACGCUGAGGAGCGAAAGCGUGGGGAGCGAACAGGAUUAGAUACCCUGGUAGUCCACGCCGUAAACGUUGGGAACUAGGUGUUGGCGACAUUCCACGUCGUCGGUGCCGCAGCUAACGCAUUAANUUCCCGCCUGGGGNUACGNCNCAGGCUAAACUCAANGANUGACGGGGNCCGACAACNGCGGAACAUUGGCUUAUUNGACGCACGCAAAACUUACAGGNUGCAUUNCCGNANCNUAAAAAANGCCCCNUGGGNCGNUANAGNGGGCUGGUGNCNANNUUGUCG